This is a long non-coding RNA of Mustela putorius furo (domestic ferret), 605 nucleotides long. The record is from Ensembl. Lineage: Eukaryota; Metazoa; Chordata; Mammalia; Carnivora; Mustelidae.
CUGGAACUGAGUCCUGCAUCUCCCUGCUCAGCGGGGAGCCCACUUCUCAGUCUGCCUGCCUCUCCCUGUCUUGUGCGCACGCGUGCUCUAUCUCUGACAAAUAAAAUCUUAAAAAAAAAAAAAAAAAAGGCAGUUAGUAGUCACACAGAGGUUGCUUUGAUUUUGGAUGGGAACGCUGGUCCUUUUCCUCCCAGGGCGAUCCUCAGUGCCCCCGGACCUGUCCACCUUGCUCCACAGCUGAGCACCUGGCCAACAGCUGCGUUUCCAUUGUGUUGAGCAGGUGACAGCAAAUACAGCGUGUUCCUUUCAGAGACAAAGAGCUUAUGUUCUCUUUGAUACAACAGAUUAAUGAAAGAAAUCUGUAUCCGUGUGAGCUAAACACCACACCAUUGUUAUACACAGAAAGGUACAAAUUGGGGGAGGGAAGGACAGUAUGGGGACUUGCAUGUUCAGCAAAUCCAUUCCUCUCAAAUGUCGCACUGUCCAGGCACGGGCCCUUCUGGUUGGUGGUAGAACGACCAUUACCUUCUGCAUUAAAAGUGGUCCUGCUGGGUGAAACGGUCCCCAGGAUGCUUCCCACUCAGGGAUGCUGUCACUUCCACUAA